CUCCAGCUGAUGAGUCUAAAAUGGGACGAAACGCGCGUUCUGGGU
This 45-nucleotide non-coding RNA is filed under the name Schistosoma margrebowiei. Lineage: Eukaryota; Metazoa; Platyhelminthes; Trematoda; Strigeidida; Schistosomatidae. The record is from RNAcentral.